RNAcentral lists this ribosomal RNA (351 nucleotides) under uncultured bacterium. RNAcentral's name for it is "bacterial SSU rRNA". It matches the Rfam family "Bacterial small subunit ribosomal RNA", at positions 8 to 350 of the family's 1533-position model. The record is from RNAcentral.
AGAGUUUGAUCAUGACUCAGGAUGAACGCUAGCUACAGGCUUAACACAUGCAAGUCGAGGGGAAACGACAUCGAAAGCUUGCUUUUGAUGGGCGUCGACCGGCGCACGGGUGAGUAACGCGUAUCCAACCUGCCCACCACUUGGGGAUAACCUUGCGAAAGUAAGACUAAUACCCAAUGACGUCUCUAGAAGACAUCUGAAAGAGAUUAAAGAUUUAUCGGUGAUGGAUGGGGAUGCGUCUGAUUAGCUUGUUGGCGGGUAACGGCCACCAAGGCUACGAUCAGUAGGGGUUCUGAGAGGAAGGUCCCCCANAUUGGAACUGAGACACGGUCCAAACUCCUACGGGAGGCA